This 530-nucleotide ribosomal RNA is filed under the name uncultured Cupriavidus sp. RNAcentral describes it as "bacterial SSU rRNA". It matches the Rfam family "Bacterial small subunit ribosomal RNA", at positions 8 to 534 of the family's 1533-position model. Lineage: Bacteria; Pseudomonadati; Pseudomonadota; Betaproteobacteria; Burkholderiales; Burkholderiaceae. The record is from RNAcentral.
AGAGUUUGAUCCUGGCUCAGAUUGAACGCUGGCGGCAUGCCUUACACAUGCAAGUCGAACGGCAGCGCGGGCUUCGGCCUGGCGGCGAGUGGCGAACGGGUGAGUAAUACAUCGGAACGUGCCCUGUCGUGGGGGAUAACUAGUCGAAAGAUUAGCUAAUACCGCAUACGACCUGAGGGUGAAAGCGGGGGACCGCAAGGCCUCGCGCGAUAGGAGCGGCCGAUGUCUGAUUAGCUAGUUGGUGGGGUAAAGGCCUACCAAGGCGACGAUCAGUAGCUGGUCUGAGAGGACGAUCAGCCACACUGGGACUGAGACACGGCCCAGACUCCUACGGGAGGCAGCAGUGGGGAAUGUUGGACAAUGGGGGCAACCCUGAUCCAGCAAUGCCGCGUGUGUGAAGAAGGCCUUCGGGUUGUANAGCACUUUUGUCCGGAAAGAAAUGGCCCUGGCUAAUACCCGGGGUCGAUGACGGUACCGGAAGAAUAAGCACGGCUAACUACGUGCCAGCAGCCGCGGUAAUACGUAGGGUG